CAUUUGUUGUGCGAAAACAGCUGCUUGCAAACUGAUCAGCAACACGUUUCCAGCCUGCGUCAUAUACUGGAGUCUGGCAGGAAUGAAAUGGAAAGGUGUUUCUCUUCAUAAAACAUAAGUUUGUUCGAGCAAAAAUGAUCUGCAUGAUGCAUCAGUCUGUAUAGAGUAUGACUCAUUCUAAACGUUGCAUGGAUGAUGCAUGGUCCAGUCUCCAGUAGGAUUUCUGACUACAACAAGAGAAGAUUUAUGGAUGUCCAAAUUCAAGUCUGACAGUCGAGCUUGAAAAUGUCACUCGCCAGAAAGGCCAGCUUGCCCAAAGCCAAGAAUGGAGCGCAAUUGAAAGCCUCGCAACACCCGAGAAACUUGUGUUUGGAACAUGGAAUGCUCUUCCUGACGGUUAUAGGAACAUGAAGAAAUAUGCAUUUGGAGUAUUAUCCAUCUUUGGAUCAACAUACCUGUGCGAGCAGAUAUUCUCAAACAUGAACUACAUUAAAUCCAAAUACUGCAACCGCCUCACAGAUGAGAGCUUGCAGUCAUGUGCCAAGAUUAAAAGUUACAUUUGACAUGCCCGAUGUUGAGAAGCUGUCCAGUGAUGUCCGAAAACAGAAGUCACAUUAAACACGUCCAAUGACGGCUGCGUUGUAUUGUGCGCGUCAAAAGAGAAGAGGAUGCUGCUUUUUACCUUGCACUGACUUACUUAGCAUUUGUAGAAAACUAAAGAGAAGAGGAUAAUGCACAAAAAUGUAACUUAAACUGUAUUAUUUUAACUUUUUAUACUUUACCUGUUCAAAAGGCUGCUGUUUUAUUAUUUAAGCAGGCUGCGUUUUAUUUGCAGGCUGUGAUUUAUCACACUCAUGUGCAAUUGUUGCCUAUUCAUUUGUGUCUGUUGCCGCCAUUAGGGGGGAAAGAGACGAAGAUUGUGCAUUAUUUUAUUUUAUUAAUCGUAAUGGAUGGAUGCAAAUGAAACUGGCUUAUUUUCGUAGUACUUAGCUUUUCAAAAGGCUGCUCUUUCAUUUUUAUAAUUGCAGGAUGCGUUUUAUUACAAUCUGUCUGUUGCCCAGAUAAGGGGCAAAAGAGAAGAGGAUUGUUUGUUUUAUUGAGGAUUGAAGAGGACUGCAUUUUAUUUCCAUGGGGAGGUCUGAAAUUACAGGAGGCAUGUUCCAUUUUUUUUUUUUUUUUUUUAAUCCUCAAACAUUUAAAAAAAAAUUCUGUAAAGGAUUAUGUGCUGUGGCGACCCCUAAUGGGACACGCUGAAAGGGAAAGAAAGAAAGAGACACAGGGAUAUAGAUAGAUGAUACAAUGAUGAAUUAUAAUAAACCACUACUGCGUAUGAAACUGGAUAUGCAUACAAUUUAUACAUUACUUUCUUGUGCACAGUAUGUUAGUAUUCCACUUUAGUCUGUUGUUCAAGUGUACUCCCAAGUACUUGUAGUGCUGCACCAUUCCAAUAUCCUCACCCAUGAUGCAAACGAGUGUUGGUCCUGGUCCUCCCAAAGUCCAAAACUAGCUCCUUAUUUUUGCUAGUGUCGAGGAUUUUGAUGAUUCCAGCUGAACCAGUCCACAAAAUUGUCUACCAGUUCUCUAUAAUCCAUCUCCUGUCCAUCUUGAAUACAAAACUGCCUCAUUUUAGAUGAAAACUGUUAAAUAUAUUUUAGAAGUUAUCAUUUAUUUGCUUAGCUUGCAUUAGUAUUAUGGACGAUUUUAGAUGUCUCGCCUUCAAAAAGAUGACUCAGCAUCAUCCGAUGGAAGGGCGCCUGGACCAAGGACGUGAUCGGAUGUGGUCGGGGACGUGACAGGUGUUGGUCCAAUGUUUUGUGUUGUGUCUUAUUGUUUAGAACAUUAUGUCUGGGAAAAACCCUCCUAUUUUCAAAUAAAUGCAGGAGCGACGGGAGAGAUUGG
Molecule: long non-coding RNA, 1899 nt
Organism: Phyllopteryx taeniolatus (common seadragon)
Lineage: Eukaryota; Metazoa; Chordata; Actinopteri; Syngnathiformes; Syngnathidae
Exons: 4
Source: RefSeq, a predicted model, not a curated record